Molecule: ribosomal RNA, 253 nt
Filed under: uncultured bacterium
Lineage: Bacteria
Description: partial 16S ribosomal RNA
Rfam family: Bacterial small subunit ribosomal RNA
Source: RNAcentral
GACGAACCGUCCGAACGUUAUUCGGAAUCACUGGGCUUAAAGGGUGCGUAGGCGGCGCGUAAAGUUGGGUGUGAAAGCCCUCGGCUUAACCGAGGAAUUGCGCUCAAAACUGCCGUGCUCGAGGGAGAUAGAGGAGAGCGGAACUUAGGGUGGAGCGGUGAAAUGCGUUGAUAUCCUAGGGAACACCGGUGGCGAAAGCGGCUCUCUGGAUCUCUUCUGACGCUGAGGCACGAAAGCUAGGGUAGCAAACGGG